This 344-nucleotide long non-coding RNA is filed under the name Brassica rapa (field mustard). Its description in RNAcentral is "long non-coding RNA (BRAP_LNC001293)". Lineage: Eukaryota; Viridiplantae; Streptophyta; Magnoliopsida; Brassicales; Brassicaceae. The record is from RNAcentral.
GAACAUACUCCCUCCAUUUCGAAGGGGGCGACUGAUUUUUCCGCUACCAUCCGCAUACGCAGCUUUUGCGGUUGGUAACGGUUGUCGGCGGUUUGCAACAAUCACUCAAAUCGUUCUAAACCGCUUCAAACCAUUCAGAAUCUCAUAAAUUUAAAAGUUGGCUCCAGCUAGCGUUUGCGGUUGCGAGAGGGUAAAUUUUUUUUCUUUUUAAAAAAAAAAUAUAUAUACAAAAGUAAAAAUAUUUAAUAAAAAAUUUAAAAUUGAAUUAUGAAAAUAUUAAAAUAUAUCUAUUAUAUUUUAAUUAAUAUUAUAAAAUUUUAUAAUAAAAACAAUUUCAAUAAAUU